Molecule: transfer RNA, 66 nt
Filed under: Homalium cochinchinense
Lineage: Eukaryota; Viridiplantae; Streptophyta; Magnoliopsida; Malpighiales; Salicaceae
Description: tRNA-Ala
Source: RNAcentral
CGCUCUUGCAAUUGGGUCGUUGCGAUUACGGGGCGGAUGUCAGCGGUUCGAGUCCGCUUAUCUCCA